UUCCCUCUCAAUAGAACCACGCAUAAACCCCACAAAAAGUAAGCUCAUACACACCCUUCCCUAAGUCGCUGGUUCGCUUGAUUUAUGCCAAUUCAAAAGGGCUAAUUUUUUUUGUGGGGCUUUGAAACCAUUAUUUGAUUAUGACCCGGUUUCUAUUUCCCAUAGAUCUCUCCCCUCUCCUCCUUAAAUACCACUCUCCCUCCCCUCCUCUCUCCCUCUCUCUGCCCUAAUUUUGAGGCUUCACUGAAACACACCCUCUCUUCAACUUCGUUGUUUAUGUAUGUAUGGUGUCCAUGGGGAAGGCAAGCUGUGGUAGAAAAUCUGUUACCUUCUAUUUAUAUGCAUGCGCUUGUAGUUCAUGCAUUCAUCCAUUCAUGCUAAGUAGUGUGCAUCCAUGCAAUUGGGGGCUGCAUAAGCUCAUACACACAUGCCUGCAUGCUUAGUAAUGCAAUAUAAUGCAUGCAUACAUGCAUGUUUUCACCAUCAUGCAUCCAUAUAUAUAUAUUAUAUGUGCCUGGCUCCCUGUAUGCCAUUUGCAGAGCCCACCGGUUCUUCGAUGGCCUCCGUGGAUGGCGUAUGAGGAGCCAUGCAUAUUCACAUGUAUAUUAUCCAUGGUUUUCACUUGCAGAUGGAAGAUUUAUACGGGCUCUCAGUCCAACUUUGAAGGCUAGAGUCCGCAAGGGUAGCAUUGUAAUUUUCAAAAGAAUCAGGUUCUCUCUGAAAGCGAAGGUACAUGUUUAUCCUCUUCUCUUCGAAACAUCACCCCUGUAUAGUUUUUAGGGUUUUCAUGAUGUGAUGUUGAUCUAAAGGCUUUGCAGGAGAAAUUAUUUUAACAUGACUAGCCACCACCCUUGUAACGAGGGAUCUGAUCAGAAAUCUAUUUUUUUAGCUCUCAAAAUAUUACUGUGGACGAAUUAUAAUUGUUUGUACCUGACAACAUAGGAGUUGCAUUAUGCCAUCCAUCUCAUCAUCUGGCUACAUGCUUGUCUCAAGAACAUGUCAUAUGACCUAAAGUCACGGUGUCAUGUCCUAUAAACUUAGACCAUAAAACAAAAGGGGGGAGAAGAGACAGAUCAUCAUGAUCACAAUUUAUAGCCUUUGUUCUUUGAUAAUGGGAAACAAGACUGACGAAAACCCUUUGUCAUUUGUUCUAUAGCUAGUGUCCAAGUUGAUUUGAGUUGGUAUAGAUUAAUAUCAAAUAAUUGCUUUGUCUUAUUAAGAAGUUUCAUUGUCUUCUGCUCAAUGUUUGGCUUUGAAUGUUAAUCUGCUUUUUGUUGUCUUGACUUCCCUUGUGAUUUUGAUUAACCACCAUGACCACAACUAAAUCUAGGUCUUGUUUUUGCUUUUCUGUGUCUAUAUAUGGUUACUAUUAAUUUUCUUUUUACUGAUAUAGAAGGCAUAUAUAUAUAUAUAUAUAUAUAUAUAUAUAUAUAUAUGCUAAUUGCUGGUUAAAUCGUUUGAAAGGGAAGGGUCUGUCUUGUAUUUAACAAAAACAACAACUAAUACUCCUAUUAUUAGUCAACACUAAACGGGUGCUGCUGAAGUUGGCUUAAUUAGUAGCCCAAGUGUGUAGAACUCCGCUUUUGGGUAUGCAGCUGGACAAUGUGCAAUGACAAAAAGAACUUGGAAAGGUAACUCCAUUCAAGCUAUCUAUAUAGUAGAAUGGGUCUAAAGAACAAAAGCUACAAGGCUUUUUUCGAUUUUGUUUGUGGAUACAAUCAUGCAUUCCAUUAACCAAAGAACAACCUUUUACCAUCCAUUUUUUCUUCUUUGUAAGUCGAGUUGUGUCCAAGAGAUUCUAGCUAGCUAGCUCUCCUGCUAUAAUAAAUCGAAAGCAAAAAACUAAUUAAAGUACUUGAAGAUGAAUAAUAACACAAAGGGUUAGAUCGAAUUAAUAUGAGUAUUAUGAUUGUCCUUGUUUUCCACAGAAAAAAAAAUCUAAUAUAGCUAGAGAGUAUUGAUAUCACCUGCAUGCCCAGAUAUAAUGAACACAACCUGGUUUAGGUUUAUCAGCAUCAAAAGUAGAGGCACAAUCAUGCUAGCCACGCACGUCCGGCCAGGGAUUCAAGAAAGAAAAAGAAGUGUGGAUUAUGGGGAAAGUAAAGUAGUGAGGGUGCAGCAGCAGGAUUAUGAUUAUAGCUUCUAGGGAAUCUCAUAUAAAAAGAAAUGGACCCUCUUCCUCUCUGUCACUUUGUCAUUGGCCACUAGAGAAUAUGUUAUACAGUCAAAGCAGGUCAAAAGGACACCAGUCAGGCCAGAUGAGGGACCACAUUGGAGAUCUACUGUUCAAAUGGGAUCUUUUUAAAAACAAUUAAGACGGUAAAUUAAAAGUUUUGUCAUAAAAACAUAUUUUGAAAAGAAGAAGAAGAAAUGAUAUAGUAUACAUGAUAUUUAUGUAGUUGUUGUGCUUUAAAAUAAUAAUAUUUAAAUAUAUUAUAUUUUAAAGUGUGAUAAUUAUUAUUUAGAUAGCAGGUUGAAUAUAGUUAUAUAAUUGAUUCAUCAUUUUGAACAAAAAUUAUAUUUUAUUAUUUUUUAAAAAUAUGUUUUAUAAAUAAAAAUAGAUAUUUUUAUCCAAAUUUUAGACUAAAAAAAAAUUGAUUAUAUAAUAGUUUUUAUAGGUAAUAUGAAGUAGUCAUAUUACAUGGAUGGCUUAGCAGUUGUAUUUAUGGACCAAUAAGACAGGUCUAGGUGCAGGAAGAUGUAUGGUCACGCUAGACCAGAAUGAUAGCUAAAAAAGACCAUUAUUUUUUAUCUAAUUAUUGGAUUGUGCUUAAAUUUUUACAGGAUUUUUUAGAAAUUAUUUUUCCACUCUAACCAUUGGAUCUUAGAUUUAAAAAAUCAACACGGACCCUGAUUCUGAUAAUUUUGUAAUUUUCCUUACAAACUGAUUGAUUGGUCAGUUCUGAAUUUAAAUAGACAUCACGGUUAUAAAUCGCAAUAUCAAUUUAAAUUUUUCCAUGAUUCACAGCCGUGAUAUUUAAUUAAUAUCACGGUUCUUAACUACAAUAUCUAAAAAUAUAUAUGCUAUUUCAUCAAAACUUUUUAUAUAUGUUAUUUCACCAUUUAUUAUAUUUGCAUUUUACAUGCUAAUUGCUCAAUUUAUUGGUUGAAAUGGGAAUUUUAAUCUCUCGACUACCCGUUUCUUUUCCAUGAUUUAUUUUUUUUCUAAGAGAAAAGGGGGAAACACAGAGAGUCUAAUAAUCCACAGAGAACAUUAUACCCGGAUUGAUCAGGCCGGGGGAAUGGUGAGAAAAGAAGAAGAUUGUACCUUCUUUGUUAGGGCUCAGCUUGUCCACUGUUUGAUGUAUCAGAGAGUAAAUUCUAUGCUAUGCUAUGCUAUGUCAUGUCUUACCUAAGAAUGGCGGUGAAACAUCAAGUGUGUGUUUGUGACAUUUCUACAUUUCUACAGAAAUUAAAUCAUGAUUUCAGGCUUUUGUGUUCAGAAAGAAAUCUUCUUUCACAUACAGAGUUAUGCACGUUUAUGCUGGGGGCGGGGAGAAGAUAUAUGAUGUCCUUCCAGCAGACAGCACAUUUCUCUUUUUCCUAUGUUUCAGAUGCGUUUUCCCGAUGUUCUUUCAUGAAAAUGGUGGAACCCAUAUAAAGUUAUCUCAAAAGCAUGUUGGGUUUUGCCAUGAUGGGCUCUCAGAUUCUUUCUCGGCGUGUCGGGUACAGUUCUUGUGGAUUUGGACCUCAUGGAGAUGCCCCAUGGUACCCUAAUCUUCUUCGAAGAGUAAAGCAAAUCAGAAUACAGCUGAUGUUAAAACUUAAAACUCAUGCGCACAGAUAUAGUACUGCAAGAAUCAUAUGAAUACAGGCUUCGAUCAGUUCAGAGGGGAAGGGAAAAAAAAUACAUUCUGAGUUAACUUGAUUUACUUGCAGCAGAUCUGAUCAGUUACACAAGAUGAUGCUGACAGGGAGAAUAAACUGGGUAAGAUGAUGCUUCAAUGGAUAAAACUGCAGGGACCAUAACGUCUCGAAAUGUGCAGAACAAGCAUAAGAUCCUUUCGAUAUUACGUACUUCGGACUGCAUCAUGUACGUCAAUCUUAGCUAAAGAAAUUAAAGAAGGACCACCGAACUUCUUCUUCUUC
Populus nigra (black poplar) is the source of this 4089-nucleotide long non-coding RNA. RefSeq lists it as uncharacterized. The record is from RefSeq and is a predicted model, not a curated record. The transcript is spliced from 2 exons. NCBI's taxonomy places the organism in Eukaryota, Viridiplantae, Streptophyta, Magnoliopsida, Malpighiales, Salicaceae.